This 107-nucleotide ribosomal RNA is filed under the name Prosthogonimus ovatus. RNAcentral's name for it is "partial 5.8S ribosomal RNA". It matches the Rfam family "5.8S ribosomal RNA", at positions 50 to 154 of the family's 154-position model. Rfam says of the family: 5.8S ribosomal RNA (5.8S rRNA) is a component of the large subunit of the eukaryotic ribosome. It is transcribed by RNA polymerase I as part of the 45S precursor that also contains 18S and 28S rRNA. RNAcentral also lists the same sequence under 2 other names. Lineage: Eukaryota; Metazoa; Platyhelminthes; Trematoda; Plagiorchiida; Prosthogonimidae. The record is from RNAcentral.
CAACUGUGUGAAUUAAUGUGAACUGCAUACUGCUUUGAACAUCGACAUCUUGAACGCAUAUUGCGGCCAUGGGUUAGCCUGUGGCCACGCCUGUCCGAGGGUCGGCU